This 441-nucleotide ribosomal RNA is filed under the name uncultured bacterium. RNAcentral's name for it is "partial 16S ribosomal RNA". It matches the Rfam family "Bacterial small subunit ribosomal RNA", at positions 338 to 795 of the family's 1533-position model. The record is from RNAcentral.
CCUACGGGUGGCAGCAGUAGGGAAUUUUGCGCAAUGGGGGAAACCCUGACGCAGCAACGCCGCGUGAUCGAUGAAGCCCUUCGGGGUGUAAAGAUCUGUCAGUGGGGACGAAACCUGACGGUACUCACAGAGGAAGCACCGGCCAACUCCGUGCCAGCAGCCGCGUUAAUACGGGGGGUGCAAGCGUUGUCCGGAAUCAUUGGGCGUAAAGAGUUCGUAGGUGGCACGUUAAGUCUGGUGUGAAAGGCGGAAGCUCAACUUCCGUAGGGCAGGGGAUACUGGCGUGCUUGAGUGCGGUGGAAGUAGAGGGAAUUCGUGGUGUAGCGGUGAAAUGCGUAGAGAUGAGGAAGAACAUCGAUGGCGUAAGCGCUUUGCUGGGGCGGAAUUGACGCUGAGGAACGAAAGCCGGGGUAGCGAAUGGGAUUAGAUACCCGAGUAGUC